UCCUGAUCAACGUUAAUCGGAUCAGGGUUAGCCCGGUCCUUAGUCAAACCCGAAAGGGGUAGAUGAUGGAAAGCAGGUUAAUAUUCCUGCGCCUGCUAUACACUAAAAGUGACGGAGAAUGCUAGUCAUAUAAGCUGACGGAAUAGCUGAGUGGAUCCUUCGGGUGAAGCGUAAUGAUGAAAGUUCUUCCAAGAAAAGCGAGUAUAGCAGCCGGUACCGCAAACCGACACAGGUAGACGGGAUGAAUAUUCUAAGGCGCUCGGGUGAGCCGUGGAGAAGGAACUAGGCAAAUUGACGCUGUAACUUCGGGAUAAAGCGUACCAUCUUCGGAUGGUCUCAGUAAAUUGGUUCAACCAACUGUUUAACAAAAACACAGGGCCCUGCAAAAUCGAAAGAUGACGUAUAGAGCCUGAUACCUGCCCGGUGCUGGAAGGUUAAGGAAGGAUGUUCGGCGCAAGCCAAAGCUUCUGACUGAAGCCCCAGUAAACGGCGGCCGUAACUAUAACGGUCCUAAGGUAGCGAAAUUCCUUGUCGGGUAAGUUCCGACCUGCACGAAUGGUCCAAUGAGUUGAACACUGUCUCCUCCACGAGCCCGGUGAAAUUGUAGUAUCGGUGAAGAUGCCGGUUACCCGCCACGGGACGGAAAGACCCCGUGAGCCUUCACUAUAGCUUUGCAUUGAUUUUGAAUUACGGAUGUGUAGAAUAGUUGGGACGCUUUGAAGCCUUGCCGCCAGGUAGGGUGGAGCGGUCGUUGAAAUACCAACCUUCUUUGAUUUAGGAUCUAAUCCCUUGCGGGAAACAGUGCAUGGUGGGUAGUUUGACUGGGGUGGUCGCCUCCUAAAGAGUAACGGAGGCUUGCAAAGGUACCCUCAGUACGGUUGGUAAUCGUACGAAGAGCGCAUUAGUAUAAGGGUGCUUGACUGUGAGGCACACAAGCCGAGCAGGGACGAAAGUCGGCUAAAGUGAUCCGGCGGUUCUGUAUGGAAGGGCCGUCGCUCAAAGGAUAAAAGGUACUCCGGAUAACAGGCUGAUCUCCCCCAAGAGCUCAUAUCGACGGGGAGGUUUGGCACCUCGAUGUCGGUUCGUCACAUCCUGGGGCUGGAGAAGGUCCCAAGGGUUCGGCUGUUCGCCGAUUAAAGUGGCACGUGAACUGGGUUCAGAACGUCGCAAGACAGUUCGGUCCCUAUCUGUGGUGGGCGCAAGUAAAUUGAGAGGACAUGACCUUAGUACGAGAGGACCGGGUCGUACGUACCGCUGGUGUAUCAGUUGUGCCGCCAGGUGCAAUGCUGAGUAGCUAUGUACGGACAGGAUAAACGCUGAAAGCAUCUAAGCGUGAAACCUUCCUCAAGAUGAGUUUACUUUUAAGGGCCGUCAGAGACUAUGACGUUGGUAGGCUACAGGUGUAAAGGUGGUAACAUCAAAGCCGAGUAGUACUAAUUGCCCGUACGCUUUAA
This 1454-nucleotide ribosomal RNA is filed under the name metagenome. RNAcentral's name for it is "bacterial LSU rRNA". It matches the Rfam family "Bacterial large subunit ribosomal RNA", at positions 1353 to 2925 of the family's 2925-position model. The record is from RNAcentral.